Molecule: ribosomal RNA, 305 nt
Filed under: uncultured bacterium
Lineage: Bacteria
Description: partial 16S ribosomal RNA
Rfam family: Bacterial small subunit ribosomal RNA
Source: RNAcentral
ACAGCAGUCGCCGCGGUAAUACGAAGGGGGCUAGCGUUGUUCGGAUUUACUGGGCGUAAAGCGCACGUAGGCGGACUUUUAAGUCAGGGGUGAAAUCCCGGGGCUCAACCCCGGAACUGCCUUUGAUACUGGAAGUCUUGAGUAUGGUAGAGGUGAGUGGAAUUCCGAGUGUAGAGGUGAAAUUCGUAGAUAUUCGGAGGAACACCAGUGGCGAAGGCGGCUCACUGGACCAUUACUGACGCUGAGGUGCGAAAGCGUGGGGAGCAAACAGGAUUAGAGACCCCAGUAGUCCCUGUCUCUUAUAC